UUUGGUCGCUAGAUUUUUCUUAGAAAUUUACAGGCUGCUGCAUGCAUCUUUUUGCGGCAGGGGUGGUGGCUUUGGCUUGCCUGCAUGGAUGCCCAGUACGUGGGUGUGCAUGCGUGCGUCAUUACAAUCACAAUUACAAUUGAUAACUUGGACGACGCUAGUAUUUGACAGCUUGGGAUUCUCCUCCAAACCUCUCUCGUUACGUUACGUUACAACUGAUAACCGGCGGCGCGCGCGUUCUCUCUCCUUCUCCAUCCAGCGGCGCGGCUCAUCACAUGUCGAGGAGGUGCGUGGACGGGAGGCCCGCCGCAGAGGCGGCGGGCGGCAGGUGCGCGGCGGAGGAGUGGAGCAUGGUGGUGAGCUCCUUGGACGCGACGAUGGACUUGUAGAUCUCGAAGAUGAGGCGCUGCUCGAACUCCGUGGGCUUGCCGGGCGCCGGGAGCUGCUGCUGCUGCUGCUUGUGGCGCGGCACCCGCUUGGCCCAGAGCGCCUCGACGGCGCCCGGCAGCGCGAGCGCCGACGCGCGCCUGCCCAGCGCCAGCAUGCCGCCCACGUACGCGUCCCGCGCCCGCGCCAGCGCGCGCCGCGGGCCCGCCAGGAGCACGCGCACCCGCCGCCGCACGCGCGCGCCGCCGCCGCCGGAGCCCAGCUGCCGCGAGCGGGGCUGCUUGCCGUCGGCGCCGCCCGCCAGGCGGUGGUACUUGUGGCGCCGCCAGUAGGCGCGCACGCCCCGCGUGAACCGUAUCGGGAACGCCUCCGCUUCCAUGGGUUUCGAGCUGGUGGUGGAGCGAAGCGAGUGCUGGUUUGGUGGAUGGACUGACU
Molecule: unclassified non-coding RNA, 822 nt
Filed under: Zea mays
Lineage: Eukaryota; Viridiplantae; Streptophyta; Magnoliopsida; Poales; Poaceae
Description: misc RNA Zm00001eb296660
Source: RNAcentral